Neopelma chrysocephalum (saffron-crested tyrant-manakin) is the source of this 683-nucleotide long non-coding RNA. RefSeq lists it as uncharacterized. The transcript is spliced from 2 exons. The record is from RefSeq and is a predicted model, not a curated record. NCBI's taxonomy places the organism in Eukaryota, Metazoa, Chordata, Aves, Passeriformes, Pipridae.
CCCUGUUGCCAUGGCAGCGCUGCGCCGUCCCGCCGGGAGCGCCCCGGGAGCAGGGUUACCGGGGAUGUAUUAGCAACAGCAUGCCAGCAGGCCGAGGGAGCUGAUCCUGCCCCCUCUGCUCAGCCCUGGGAUAGGCUGAGAAACCAGGGCCUGUUCAGCCUUGAGAAGAGACGACUGAGAGGGGACCUCACACUAACUAUAAGUGUCUGAAGGGAGGGUGCCAAGAGGACGCAUCCAGGGUCUUCUCGGUGGUGUCAAGCAAUAGCACAAGAGGCAAUGGGCAGAAACUGAUACACAGGAAGUUCCACUUGAAUAUGAGGAAGAACAUCUUUACUAUGUGGGUGACCGAACACUGGAACAGAUGCCCAGAGAGGUUGUGAAGUCUCCCCCACUGGAGAUACUCAGGAACCCUCUGGAUGCAAUCCUGUGCCAUGUGCUCUGGGGUGCCCCUGCUUGAGCAGGGAGGUUGGCCCAGGUGAUCUACUGAGGUCUCUUCCAGCCUCACCUGUUCAGUGUUUCUGUGAAUGUCCACAGGAGCAGCAUUCAGCAGCUGUUUGGGACUCCCCGCCUGGGCGGUCCCAGAAAGGCCCGGGCCCACCGAUCCCGGUCAGGCUGCACUGGCUUUGUGCCUGUCCAGCGAUCCUUGAUCUUUCUAAAAUAAAUUUUGUCGUUUUUUAAAUAAA